Molecule: non-coding RNA, 772 nt
Organism: Equus caballus (horse)
Lineage: Eukaryota; Metazoa; Chordata; Mammalia; Perissodactyla; Equidae
Source: RefSeq, a predicted model, not a curated record
GCCGGGGCGCCUCCCUGCUGCGGUCUGGGCGCCGGCAGCCGCGUCCCUUAUCCCGCGGAGGACAGUGUUCCUGGUGAAUCAUUACUGGUCCAUUAGGAGAAAAGACGGAGCUGGAGCUGUGGGAGGAGGGCCUUCCGGAAGGGGCGGCGACCCGCCGCGGGCCGGCUGGGGCGCGAGGCCCGGAGCGGGUUCGCAGCCGCCUGCAGAGUCUCGGCUCGAGCGCAGUCGCUGUGCCCAGGAGGUUUCCGGUCACAGCACGUUUCUGGGCAUUUCGGUUGUUCCCCGGCCGUUCUCACAGCCGCCGCCCUUCCCGCCCUGGGCUACUGGAUCGCGCGCCCGAGGGGACGGACGUCUGAGUUGCGUCCCCAGCGCUUGCAGGCCCGGGCGGAGGGAUGGGGCACUCAGUGACCCAUAGUGGGGCCUACUGUGUGCUCAGUGCGGUGCCGGAUUUUGGAGUCAAGAGUGCCUGGCUUCAAACCCUGGCCGUGCCGUUUACCAGCUGGGGGGACCAUGGGCAAGUUAAUUAACUUCUCCGUGCCUUUGUUUUUUGCUCUGUAAAGUGGGGAGUCUUACAGUGCCUAAUUCAAGGGUACUUAACAAUUAAAUAAGAUACGGUUCAGAAAGCACCUGACAAGACACUUCACCAAACAAGAUACUAUAUUGACAACAAAUAAGCACAUUAAAAGAUUUUCAACAGGGGCUGGCCCCAUGGCCGAGUGGUUAAGUUCGCGCACUCCGCCGCAGGCGGCCCAGUGUUUCGUUGGUUCGAAUC